CUAGACUGCAUCAACAGGCAUGUAGUAUUGAGAUUGAGGGAAACCAUAGUCUCACUCUAUUCUGCUUUGGUCAGACCUCACCUGGAAUACUGGGCAUCACAGUUCUGGGCAUCACAAUGCAAGAAGGAUAUUGAGAAGCUGCAAUGUGUCCAGAGAAGUGUGAUCAAAAUGAUCAAAAGUUUGGAAACUAAGCUUUAUGAGAAGCAGCCUAGGGAGCUGGACGGUGACUCCGGAGGGUCUCUAUGAUUUUGCCAAGUCUGUGAUGGAGGAGCUGAAGCAGCAGAGCAAGUACCUCAACUGCCUCCUGUUGCCGCUGCCGCCCCUGGACCCGGCCGCUUCCUGGCCGCGGAGGGGCUCGGUGAGCGUGUCUCUGCAGUCAGAGGAGGGGCGCGUGGAAGCCCCCCGAUGGUGAUGGGCGUGGAGCGCACGGCCCUGAUGCUUCCCAGCUGCAUGGGCCGCCCCGCCUUGGAGGACCCCGCCCUCCCCCUCAUCAAGCACCUCGGCGGGUAUAGGAAACAGAGUCUACUCAGUAGGCUGUUUUCUUUCAGUUCAGUACUUACGCUAUCAGCAAAGACUUGGGGGCAGCUCAUGCAGAAAACAAAGUUGAUCAAAGAACUGUUUUGGAAUAUUACAGAAGAGACUUGGAAGGACCACAGAAGAUGCCAGUACUGUGGAAAGAACUGUAUGAUCUGUCUCAAGGACUUUGUGUUCCAAACUAUCUAAAUAAUGUAUUAAUUAAACUGUAGUCACCUGACUGCUGAAAAUUGUGUGUGCAAGUACGCAUAAAUAAAAUAACUUGUUGUGAAUUAUUUAGUGUUAGUAUGUACUUUGGGUAGAAGAAA
This is a long non-coding RNA of Anolis carolinensis (green anole), 842 nucleotides long. RefSeq lists it as uncharacterized. The transcript has 4 exons. The record is from RefSeq and is a predicted model, not a curated record. NCBI's taxonomy places the organism in Eukaryota, Metazoa, Chordata, Lepidosauria, Squamata, Anolidae.